GUCAGUUUUGUCAGUUUUGUCAGUUUUUUCAGUUUUUUCAGUUUUUUCAGUUUUGCCAGUUUUGUCAACUUUUGUAACACUUAUCGUGUUAAUAACAUUUGUCUUUUUUUCUUCAUUUCUUUUUUUUCUUUUUUUUUUUAUUUAAAAAAAAUGAUGAAUAAUAAUGCUUCUAUGCUUAUGUUUACAGCACAGGGUGUAUUGGCAACACUAACUUGUGGCCUGUGCUACUAUAUGUAUCUCUAUUGUAAUAAUAAAAUUUUUAUCAAUGAAAAGAAAAAAUAUGAAAAAAAUAAUAAAAGAAAUAUUACUAAAUUAAAUCCCGAUGUACAAUAUGUACCAAAAUUAAAAAAAAAAAAAAAAAAUGAAGAGAAUAAUACUGAUAGUAACAGAAAUAAAAUAAUAAGUAGAAAUAAAAAUGGAAAUAAUAUCGAUAUUGUAUCAUUAACUGAUAAUAUAAACUGUGUAAAUGAUAGUAAGACGGAAACUAUACAAAAAUUCAAGUGUAUUGCUACUACUGCUGUUACCAUUAAUAACGAAUUUAGUGAAGAUGAACGAGUUGAUAGAAGAAGUAACGAUAAUAUAAAACCAAAAUAUAUUUUACCUUCUUUUUAUAAUGGUACAAAUAAAGAAAAGAUAGAUGAUUAUGAAAAUUGUUUGAUUCUCGAAAAUGAAAAUAAUAACAAAGUUAUAAAAAAAAAUAAAAAGAUAAAUAAAAAUAAAAAAAUAAAUAAAAACAAAAAUGCAAAUAAAAACAAAAAUGCAAAUAAUAAUAAUGAUAGUGAUGGUGAUAGUGAUGGUAAUAGCGAUAGUGAUAAUAAUACGUUUUUUAUAAAAAAUGGAAUAAAUAAAGAUAAAGAAAAUACGAAUGAGGAAAAUUACGAUACUGAUGGAAAUAUAUUAAGCGAUACUGAAACAUAUUUAAAAAAAAGUACAAGUGCAUUUUAUGAAAAUGAUAAAAAAAAAAUAGAACAAACUCAUUAUAAUAACAUAAGAAAAAUCAAUAGUUUUUCACAUAAUAGAAUCCCAGGUAUUGAGAAUUUUAUUUAUGAUGAAAAUAAAAAUAUUCAAUUAAUUUAUUUUAAUAAUAAUAAUAAAAAAAAAAAUUAUGUACAUAAAAUGAUAUUAAAUAAGGAUAAAGAGAACAAAACAAAUCAUUCUUAUAUAUAUUUGAAUAAAAACCAAAUCAUACAAAAUAUUGAUAAUAACAAUAUUAAUUUUUUAUGUAAUGAACACGAGAACAACAACACUAUAGGUACUUUCUGUAAAGACUUUUUUACACAAAAUGGUAAUAAUAGCGUGGAUAAAGAUAUAGUACAUGGUAUGGGGGAUGACAUAACACAUGACAUGGAGCGGGAAUUGAAACAGGACAUGUCACAUGAUAUGGAAC
Long non-coding RNA from Piliocolobus tephrosceles (Ugandan red Colobus), 1387 nucleotides. The record is from Ensembl. Lineage: Eukaryota; Metazoa; Chordata; Mammalia; Primates; Cercopithecidae.